Molecule: unclassified non-coding RNA, 246 nt
Filed under: Lecidea sp.
Lineage: Eukaryota; Fungi; Ascomycota; Lecanoromycetes; Lecideales; Lecideaceae
Description: partial contains 5.8S ribosomal RNA, internal transcribed spacer 2, and large subunit ribosomal RNA
Source: RNAcentral
CGCACAUUGCGCCCCCUGGUAUCCCGGGGGGCACGCCUGUUCGAGCGUCAUUGCAACCCUCAAGCCUGGCUUGGUAUUGGCCCCGCCGAGGCUAGGCGGGUCCUAAAUGCAUGGGCGGCGGCCGUUACUACUCGAUGCAAGAGGAUCCCAUCCACGCGUCGUGCUAGGACGGGCGCCUGCCCCCAAAGCGGUCCCCGGACCCUCCAGUUUGACCUCGGAUCAGGUGGGAAUACCCGCUGAACUUAA